RNAcentral lists this transfer RNA (59 nucleotides) under Loxodonta africana (African savanna elephant). It matches the Rfam family "tRNA", at positions 14 to 71 of the family's 71-position model. From Rfam's summary of the family: Transfer RNA (tRNA) molecules are approximately 80 nucleotides in length. Their secondary structure includes four short double-helical elements and three loops (D, anti-codon, and T loops). Lineage: Eukaryota; Metazoa; Chordata; Mammalia; Proboscidea; Elephantidae. The record is from Rfam by way of RNAcentral.
AGUGGUUAAGCAUUUGGCUGCUAACCAAAAGGUUGGUGGUUCAAACCCACCAGCCGCCC